UACGAAGGGGGCUAGCGUUGCUCGGAAUCACUGGGCGUAAAGCGCACGUAGGCGGAUCGUUAAGUCAGGGGUGAAAUCCUGGAGCUCAACUCCAGAACUGCCUUUGAUACUGGCGAUCUUGAGUUCGAGAGAGGUGAGUGGAACUGCGAGUGUAGAGGUGAAAUUCGUAGAUAUUCGCAAGAACACCAGUGGCGAAGGCGGCUCACUGGCCCGAUACUGACGCUGAGGCACGAAAGCGUGGGGAGCAACAGG
Molecule: ribosomal RNA, 252 nt
Filed under: uncultured bacterium
Lineage: Bacteria
Description: partial 16S ribosomal RNA
Rfam family: Bacterial small subunit ribosomal RNA
Source: RNAcentral